UUUAAAUUGAGAGUUUGAUCCUGGCUCAGGAUGAACGCUGGUGGCGUGCCUAAUACAUGCAAGUCGUACGCUAGCCGCUGAAUUGAUCCUUCGGGUGAAGUGAGGCAAUGACUAGAGUGGCGAACUGGUGAGUAACACGUAAGAAACCUGCCCUUUAGUGGGGGAUAACAUUUGGAAACAGAUGCUAAUACCGCGUAACAACAAAUCACACAUGUGAUCUGUUUGAAAGGUCCUUUUGGAUCGCUAGAGGAUGGUCUUGCGGCGUAUUAGCUUGUUGGUAGGGUAGAAGCCUACCAAGGCAAUGAUGCGUAGCCGAGUUGAGAGACUGGCCGGCCACAUUGGGACUGAGACACUGCCCAAACUCCUACGGGAGGCUGCAGUAGGGAAUUUUCCGCAAUGCACGAAAGUGUGACGGAGCGACGCCGCGUGUGUGAUGAAGGCUUUCGGGUCGUAAAGCACUGUUGUAAGGGAAGAAUAACUGAAUUCAGAGAAAGUUUUCAGCUUGACGGUACCUUACCAGAAAGGGAUGGCUAAAUACGUGCCAGCAGCCGCGGUAAUACGUAUGUCCCGAGCGUUAUCCGGAUUUAUUGGGCGUAAAGCGAGCGCAGACGGUUUAUUAAGUCUGAUGUGAAAUCCCGAGGCCCAACCUCGGAACUGCAUUGGAAACUGAUUUACUUGAGUGCGAUAGAGGCAAGUGGAACUCCAUGUGUAGCGGUGAAAUGCGUAGAUAUGUGGAAGAACACCAGUGGCGAAAGCGGCUUGCUAGAUCGUAACUGACGUUGAGGCUCGAAAGUAUGGGUAGCAAACGGGAUUAGAUACCCCGGUAGUCCAU
Molecule: ribosomal RNA, 832 nt
Filed under: Oenococcus oeni
Lineage: Bacteria; Bacillati; Bacillota; Bacilli; Lactobacillales; Lactobacillaceae
Description: bacterial SSU rRNA
Rfam family: Bacterial small subunit ribosomal RNA
Source: RNAcentral